UCCCCGGUGGCUCAGAUGGUAAAGAGUCUGCCUGCAAUGCAGCAGACUUGGGUUCGAUUCCUGGGCUGGGAA
RNAcentral lists this transfer RNA (72 nucleotides) under Bos taurus (domestic cattle). It matches the Rfam family "tRNA". From Rfam's summary of the family: Transfer RNA (tRNA) molecules are approximately 80 nucleotides in length. The record is from Rfam by way of RNAcentral. RNAcentral also lists the same sequence under 2 other names. Lineage: Eukaryota; Metazoa; Chordata; Mammalia; Artiodactyla; Bovidae.